Molecule: ribosomal RNA, 327 nt
Filed under: uncultured eukaryote
Lineage: Eukaryota
Description: partial 18S ribosomal RNA
Rfam family: Eukaryotic small subunit ribosomal RNA
Source: RNAcentral
CCCCUAGAUGUUCUGGGCCGCACGCGCGCUACACUGAACAGUUCAACAAGUCUUAACCUUGGCCGAUAGGUCUGGGUAAUCUUUGAACGCUGUUCGUGAUUGGGAUAGACCUUUGCAAUUAUGGGUCUUCAACGAGGAAUUCCUAGUAAACGCAAGUCAUCAGCUUGCAUUGAUUACGUCCCUGCCCUUUGUACACACCGCCCGUCGCUACUACCGAUUGAACGUUUUAGUGAGGUAUUUGGACUGGACCUUCGGAGGUUCGCGCCUCCGUUGCUGUUCGGGAAGACUCCCAAACUUGAGCGUUUAGAGGAAGUAAAAGUCGUAACA